Molecule: long non-coding RNA, 346 nt
Organism: Octodon degus (degu)
Lineage: Eukaryota; Metazoa; Chordata; Mammalia; Rodentia; Octodontidae
Exons: 3
Source: RefSeq, a predicted model, not a curated record
CCCCUCACCUGGAAACCAUUAACUGGGACAGGAUGCACAGAGAGGGGGCAUUGCUCCUAACCUCAAAGAUUCUUGGUACAGACUGGCACAAGGCAUCGUUGUGGCUGUGGGCCUCUAGGUGGGCUCGUGCGGGCAUCGUCUCGGGCUCCUGCCUCCAGAAGCUCCAGGCUCCUGCCCACCUCUGAGAAAGCAGCCUGAGGAAGCAGCCUCAGCCAAGAGCCAGGAGAUGACACCCUGAUGUACGAAGAAACCACCGAAAUCACUAAGGAUGGCACGGGAGCGCAGUGAGGCGCUCACCCAUCCAGCGCUCGGUGAGGCCUGGCGCCUGGGAGGCUGAGGCGGGAGG